Molecule: long non-coding RNA, 372 nt
Organism: Rhipicephalus microplus (southern cattle tick)
Lineage: Eukaryota; Metazoa; Arthropoda; Arachnida; Ixodida; Ixodidae
Source: RefSeq, a predicted model, not a curated record
UCCGAUAUUUUAGCUGUCCUGUGGAGGAGCUGAAGGUGAAAAGAGGGACGUUGUUUCACAAGCGGGUUGGUUAGUCUGCGUGCUUUGGGAAAGCAAAAUAUGGUACAUCCUCCUCUUUACCCUAUCGGCCCCAGGCUGAUCCAGCUCUGCAAAAUCUGGGCUCGGCCGGCGGCCUUGUAUGGAGCAACCGGUGCCAUUGGGGUUGCGUACUUCACCGAUUGGAAAGCAGUACUCCAGUAUGUUCCAUUUUAUAAUGGAAAAUACAAGGAAGAGUAACGGACUCAUUGGUUGAAGAGAAGCCAUAAAGAUAUAAUUCAUUUCCAAAGCAUAGGAGCAACUUAAUAAAAUUGACAAAAUACAAAUGAACUAAAA